RNAcentral lists this transfer RNA (86 nucleotides) under Spirochaetia bacterium. RNAcentral describes it as "tRNA-Leu". It matches the Rfam family "tRNA". From Rfam's summary of the family: Transfer RNA (tRNA) molecules are approximately 80 nucleotides in length. Their secondary structure includes four short double-helical elements and three loops (D, anti-codon, and T loops). Further hydrogen bonds mediate the characteristic L-shaped molecular structure. tRNAs have two regions of fundamental functional importance: the anti-codon, which is responsible for specific mRNA codon recognition, and the 3' end, to which the tRNAs corresponding amino acid is attached (by aminoacyl-tRNA synthetases). tRNAs cope with the degeneracy of the genetic code in two manners: having more than one tRNA (with a specific anti-codon) for a particular amino acid; and 'wobble' base-pairing, i.e. permitting non-standard base-pairing at the 3rd anti-codon position. Lineage: Bacteria; Pseudomonadati; Spirochaetota; Spirochaetia. The record is from RNAcentral. RNAcentral also lists the same sequence under 1 other name.
GCCGGAGUGGUGAAAUUGGUAGACACAGGGGACUUAAAAUCCCCCGGCCCUUAAAAGCCUUGCGGAUUCGAGUUCCGCCUCCGGCA